Molecule: long non-coding RNA, 1302 nt
Filed under: Apteryx haastii (Great spotted kiwi)
Lineage: Eukaryota; Metazoa; Chordata; Aves; Apterygiformes; Apterygidae
Description: lncRNA (ENSAHAG00000014999.1)
Source: RNAcentral
AUGGUGCGAAACACCRGCCGCGGCCAGGGAAGAUCCAAAGCGUCGGUUUCCCUUCACCCUGCACGCAUCGAGCGGGGCAGGCGGCUACGGCRGGAGGUUUUCCCGCUGGCUCUGCAGUGCGCCAGGCCCGGGGAUCUGCUUGCAAAAGGCCGAGCGCAGCUCUCCRCAUCCCGCGGGAUGGUUCCCUGCUCGCUCCGUCCCUCAGCUCCAGCCCGGCACCGGGACGGCUGGGGCAAUAAGGCGGGAGGCAAUGUGGCUGGGUUUGGGACUAAGAUGAGCUGCGGCGAGCACAAGCGAGCUGGCGUCGGGGCUGAGCUUUUGGGGAUGCCCAGGACCCACGAGGGGCGGAGGGGUCCAGCCCAGGGUGGGGGCUACACUGAAAAAGCUCAAAGAAGGGGGGAGGCAGGCGAGCGGCAGCCCGAAGCAUCCUGCUCUGCUCCGCGCUGCGCUCCUCUGCCCUCCGAGCCCGGCCCCAGCGGCACCUUCCCCUCUCCGAGCACGGGGCGGCCGCAGGAGGAGACGCCGAGAGCCCGGAGCCGGCCCCCAAGGCAGCGCGGUGCUGAGGCCAGAGGACCCGCAAGCGGCAAAGGCGCCGACCGCGUGGGCAAACGUGGGGGCCAAAGGCUGGGAAUGGCUCCGCCUGGCCCCGACGGCCGUGUCCUGUGCUCGGGGCAGGGACUGAGGCCACCGYGGCCCCCGGGGCAGAGCAAAGCAGGAUUUGGCCUUGUGCCUUUGCUGUGCUGGGGCUGUUGCGGGAGCAAAGCUGCCUUUCCCUCGUCUCCCCGUGGCCACAACCAAGCGGGACGCGGUCUAGCCCAGCUCGGGAACGGGAAGGGUCCCCGGUGCUGCCGGUGGGGCUGCGCCGCCGGGAUGGUCCCGCGGCUGAGCCAGGCACCCUGUCCUCAGCACCCGCCUGYGCCCGGGGCUGUGAACCCAGCUGCUGGCGUUGAACGGUGGGAAGCGGCGACCGGGCACUCGCAGGCUCCUGUUUCUCCGCAAGCAUCUCGCUGCGGUUCUCCAGAGUGGAAACCGCAAGGAACAGGACAGCUGGGAAGCGCAAAGGGCAGCGGGAGGGAAAGCUUUCCCGGAGGAGAAGGGAUGGCGAGAAAGGACCUUCCCCGCCGGCGUUUUCCCCCCGUAUCUUGGCUCUCCAGCACCGGCUGCAUUUGCAGAGCCGGUACCCGCCACAGAUCUUGCAGCAAGGAGGAAGGCGGGGGCAGAGCUGCUCUCGGCUUGCGCACAAAUGUAUCGGUGCUGGCUCUUCUAACUCUUUUCUUUUUUUUCCCCCUCUUUCUGGCUUAA